GGGCCUGUGGUGUAACGGUAACACAUUGAGGUCAAGGGCCUCAAAGCUCCCGCGUUCGAUUCCGGGCGGGUCCA
Molecule: non-coding RNA, 74 nt
Organism: Podospora aff. communis PSN243
Lineage: Eukaryota; Fungi; Ascomycota; Sordariomycetes; Sordariales; Podosporaceae
Source: the annotation of a GenBank genome assembly